This 328-nucleotide ribosomal RNA is filed under the name uncultured eukaryote. Its description in RNAcentral is "partial 18S ribosomal RNA". It matches the Rfam family "Eukaryotic small subunit ribosomal RNA", at positions 1470 to 1796 of the family's 1831-position model. The record is from RNAcentral.
CCCCUAGAUGUUCUGGGCCGCACGCGUGCUACACUGACCAGUGCAACAAGCAUCCGUCCUUGGCCGACAGGCCCGGGCAAUCUUUGAACGCUGGUCGUGAUGGGGAUAGACUUUUGCAAUUUUUGGUCUUCAACGAGGAAUUCCUAGUAAACGCAAGUCAUCAACUUGCAUUGAUUACGUCCCUGCCCUUUGUACACACCGCCCGUCGCAGCUACUGAUUGAAUAUAUCGGUGAAAUAUUGGGACCGUGAUGAACGAAGCUUCAUUGCUUCUAUCAUUAUGGGAACUUUCUUAAACCUAUCUAUUUAGAAGAAGCUGAAGUCGUANCA